GUAUUUAUUUAUCCAUCCUCCAAAAAAUGCAACUAGGCAUGUUCGUUGCAGAUAAUGGCUAGUCUGAGAUUUUUCUGCGCCACAAAUAUCUCUGUCUCAACAAAACACAAAGCAAAAGUGGAUAAGAAGUGUGUUGUUCAUCAGAAAGUUAAGAACCUCAUCAACACUUUGGAGCUUCCUUCCAUUUCAUCAUCAUCAUCAACUCCACUUGAGUCUCUCCAGAGAGGUAACUGGGUGAAACUCAUUUGUGGUGCAAGUUUUGAGGAUGUUGUUGAUAUCAGAAAUCUCAGUUUGGUUUACACUCUUGCUGGAGUUGACUGCAUUGACUGUGCUGCUGAUGCAUCUGUUGUGAGUGCUGUUAAUGAAGGAAUUGAAGCUGCAAGAGACAUCUUAUGCUGCCUUAGAAGGCCUUGGGUGAUGAUCAGUGUCAAUGAUGAUAAAGAUCUUCACUUUCGCAAAGCCGAAUUUGAUCCUGAGGACUGUCCAUCGGACUGUUCACGCCCUUGCGAAAAUGUUUGCCCUGCUAAUGCAAUCUCAUUCCAAGAGAAAUCUACUUCACAAAUUUCAUGUAACACCGAAGCACCAAGAGUACUAAAGGAUGGAGUCAUAACGGAGCGCUGCUAUGGCUGUGGUCGCUGUCUUCCAGUUUGCCCCUAUGAUAAAAUAAGAGAGGUAACAUAUGUAAGAGAUGCUGUUACAACUUCUGAUCUCAUCAAGAGAAAUGAUGUUGAUGCUAUUGAGAUCCAUACAAGUGCAAGGCAGAGUAGACUGUUUGAAGAACUAUGGCGCGCUUUAGCAGAUUCAGUAGAAAAUUUGAAGCUAGUAGCCGUUAGUUUACCUAAUGUUGGAGAUUCAACAAUAUCUUCUAUGAACAAAAUGUACUCUAUUAUGAAACCAAAUCUUAGAAACUUCAACUUAUGGCAGUUAGACGGCCGUCCGAUGAGUGGAGAUAUUGGGAGAGGAGCAACUAAGGAGUCAAUAGCCUUCGCUGUUCAGUUGGCUAAAGCAAAAGAUAGACCUCCUGGCUUUCUUCAACUUGCUGGUGGAACUAAUGCUCACACAAUUGAAGGAAUGAAAAAAGAAGGACUCUUUCGAACAACUAGUUUAAAAUACUUGGAUCAUGAAAAUUCAACAGUCAGUACAUCUAACUCAUCAUGUGCGUUAAUUAGCGGCAUAGCUUAUGGUGGCUACGCGCGAAAGAUUGUUGGUAGAGUAUUAAGAUCCAUGCAAUCCCAACAUGGUGGAGCUGCUUCAAUCGAGGAUCAUCCUGAGCAUCUCUUGUUGGCUCUAAGGGAAGCACUUGCGUUGGUUGGACCUGUUAAAUGUCUAUAAUCUAUGACAACUUCACUCUUCACAUCACUUGAUUGAAACUUUGAUGUUGGAAUUAUGAUGUGUAUGAAACUAAAUGAGUUCAAGCUUGUCAAAAGAUAAUAAUAUUCUGCAUUGUCAACUUUAAUUAGCAUGCACAUAUAUUCAAUUUGUAUGAUCUUCAAGUACUUAUUUGUUGGCAUGUGUAUCCACAAUCUACUUUAAUUGUUGUU
This is an RNA transcript of Medicago truncatula (barrel medic), 1541 nucleotides long. RefSeq lists it as uncharacterized. The transcript is spliced from 13 exons. Lineage: Eukaryota; Viridiplantae; Streptophyta; Magnoliopsida; Fabales; Fabaceae. The record is from RefSeq and is a predicted model, not a curated record.